GAUGAACGCUGGCGGCGUGCCUAAUACAUGCAAGUCGAGCGAACGGACGAGAAGCUUGCUUCUCUGAUGUUAGCGGCGGACGGGUGAGUAACACGUGGAUAACCUACCUAUAAGACUGGGAUAACUUCGGGAAACCGUAGCUAAUACCGGAUAAUAUUUUGAACCGCAUGGUUCAAAAGUGAAAGACGGUCUUGCUGUCACUUAUAGAUGGAUCCGCGCUGCAUUAUCUAGUUGGUAAGGUAACGGCUUACCAAGGCAACGAUGCAUAGCCGACCUGAGAGGGUGAUCGGCCACACUGGAAGUGAGACACGGUCCAGACUCCUACGGGAGGCAGCAGUAGGGAAUCUUCCGCAAUGGGCGAAAGCCUGACGGAGCAACGCCGCGUGAGUGAUGAAGGUCUUCGGAUCGUAAAACUCUGUUAUUAGGGAAGAACAUAUGUGUAAGUAACUGUGCACAUCUUGACGGUACCUAAUCAGAAAGCCACGGCUAACUACGUG
RNAcentral lists this ribosomal RNA (497 nucleotides) under uncultured bacterium. Its description in RNAcentral is "partial 16S ribosomal RNA". It matches the Rfam family "Bacterial small subunit ribosomal RNA", at positions 28 to 507 of the family's 1533-position model. The record is from RNAcentral.